RNAcentral lists this ribosomal RNA (253 nucleotides) under uncultured bacterium. RNAcentral's name for it is "partial 16S ribosomal RNA". It matches the Rfam family "Bacterial small subunit ribosomal RNA", at positions 524 to 776 of the family's 1533-position model. The record is from RNAcentral.
UACGUAGGGGGCAAGCGUUGUCCGGAUUUAUUGGGCGUAAAGAGCGUGUAGGCGGCCAGGUAGGUCAGCUGUGAAAACUCGAGGCUCAACCUCGAGCUGUCGGCUGAAACCAUCUGGCUAGAGUCCGGAAGAGGAGAAUGGAAUUCCCGGUGUAGCGGUGAAAUGCGCAGAUAUCGGGAAGAACACCCGUGGCGAAGGCGGUUCUCUGGGACGGUACUGACGCUGAGACGCGAAAGCGUGGGGAGCGAACAGG